CCUACGGGGGGCAGCAGUGAGGAAUAUUGGUCAAUGGACGAGAGUCUGAACCAGCCAAGUAGCGUGAAGGAUGACUGCCCUAUGGGUUGUAAACUUCUUUUAUAUGGGAAUAAAAUGUUCCACGUGUGGGAUUUUGUAUGUACCAUAUGAAUAAGGAUCGGCUAACUCCGUGCCAGCAGCCGCGGUAAUACGGAGGAUCCGAGCGUUAUCCGGAUUUAUUGGGUUUAAAGGGAGCGUAGGUGGAUUGUUAAGUCAGUUGUGAAAGUUUGCGGCUCAACCGUAAAAUUGCAGUUGAAACUGGCAGUCUGGAGUAGAGUAGAGGUGGGCGGAAUUCGUGGUGUAGCGGUGAAAUGCUUAGAUAUCACGAAGAACUCCGGUUGCGAAGGCAGCUCACUGGACUGCAACUGACACUGAGGCUCGAAAGUGUGGGUAUCAAACAGGAUUAGAUACCCGUGUAGUC
RNAcentral lists this ribosomal RNA (460 nucleotides) under uncultured bacterium. RNAcentral's name for it is "partial 16S ribosomal RNA". It matches the Rfam family "Bacterial small subunit ribosomal RNA", at positions 338 to 795 of the family's 1533-position model. The record is from RNAcentral.